This 279-nucleotide unclassified non-coding RNA is filed under the name plant metagenome. RNAcentral's name for it is "partial contains small subunit ribosomal RNA, internal transcribed spacer 1, and 5.8S ribosomal RNA". The record is from RNAcentral.
UUUCCGUAGGUGAACCUGCGGAGGGAUCAUUAUUGUAUAUCCGUUCUACGACCACUGUCGCUCUCCCGAAUUGCCGUGCACUCCCGACUGCCCUCACUCGCAUCCAUCUCCCCCCUAUGGGCACCACCGCUCCCGUCCCCCUUUGGCUCGCCCCGAGCGGGACUUACAUUUGCCCGCAACCUUUGAUUUCCAUGUAGAAUCUAUUUUUUGUUUUUGCCAUCACGCAUUCUAUACAUCUUUCAACAACGGAUCUCUUGACUCUCGCAUCGCUCACGACCC